GGGUCAGUAGGUUGGUCGUGCCACCGGUACGUACUGGUCUCACUGAUUCCUCCUUCCUGAAGAACCGUAAUGCCAUUAAUUUGGUGUUGCGGGGAAAUAGGACUGUUACUUUGAAAAAAUUAGAGUGUUUAAAGCAAGCUAGCGCUUGAAUACAUUAGCAUGGAAUAAUGAAAUAGGACGAUCGAUCCUAUUUUGUUGGUUUCUAGGAUUGACGUA
This 216-nucleotide ribosomal RNA is filed under the name Glomeromycotina sp. Its description in RNAcentral is "partial small subunit ribosomal RNA". The stretch from base 40 to 216 matches the Rfam family "Eukaryotic small subunit ribosomal RNA", at positions 686 to 864 of the family's 1831-position model. Lineage: Eukaryota; Fungi; Glomeromycota. The record is from RNAcentral.